GCGUCUGUUGGGCAGGUGGUGAGCCCAAGCGCCUGUAAAGCGCUCGCGUACGCUGUGCAGGUUCGAUUCCUGCCAGGCGCA
This 81-nucleotide transfer RNA is filed under the name Gemmataceae bacterium. Its description in RNAcentral is "tRNA-Tyr". It matches the Rfam family "tRNA". From Rfam's summary of the family: Transfer RNA (tRNA) molecules are approximately 80 nucleotides in length. Their secondary structure includes four short double-helical elements and three loops (D, anti-codon, and T loops). Lineage: Bacteria; Pseudomonadati; Planctomycetota; Planctomycetia; Gemmatales; Gemmataceae. The record is from RNAcentral.